Molecule: long non-coding RNA, 387 nt
Organism: Eurytemora carolleeae
Lineage: Eukaryota; Metazoa; Arthropoda; Copepoda; Calanoida; Temoridae
Exons: 2
Source: RefSeq, a predicted model, not a curated record
UUCUAAAACUUUUAAAGUUGGAAGAUUUUCUUGUUUCUUUUAACUUUUUUCAAUAUUCUUAUUUAACUAAAUUCUUAUUUGAGCAGUACAUCUUAUUGGGUUAUAUUUUAUCUUUUUGUUCUUGCACUUUAUAUACUUGUAAUUUAGCAAGCGUGCACGUGUGUUGUUGUUCAUUGUGGUUUAUAUCGGUUCAGCAGUAUCCUCAAGCAAACUUAUUGCUCUCCUUAAGCAAACUUAUUGCUCAAGACCCUGCUGGAUCUACCCUAGCUCUGUUCAACCCCGAUCAGCGAAACAAUUUUGAAACCGCUGUGCUGUUAUCAAUCUGUGAACUGAACGGAACCCUUUCUAAGAAGAUUGUAUUUAUCAAUAAAGAUUUACGUUACUUAA